AUUGAACGCUGGCGGCAGGCCUAACACAUGCAAGUCGAGCGGAUGAAGGGAGCUUGCUCCUGGAUUCAGCGGCGGACGGGUGAGUAAUGCCUAGGAAUCUGCCUGGUAGUGGGGGAUAACGUCCGGAAACGGGCGCUAAUACCGCAUACGUCCUGAGGGAGAAAGUGGGGGAUCUUCGGACCUCACGCUAUCAGAUGAGCCUAGGUCGGAUUAGCUAGUUGGUGGGGUAAAGGCCUACCAAGGCGACGAUCCGUAACUGGUCUGAGAGGAUGAUCAGUCACACUGGAACUGAGACACGGUCCAGACUCCUACGGGAGGCAGCAGUGGGGAAUAUUGGACAAUGGGCGAAAGCCUGACCCAGCCAUGCCGCGUGUGUGAAGAAGGUCUUCGGAUUGUAAAGCACUUUAAGUUGGGAGGAAGGGCAGUAAGUUAAUACCUUGCUGUUUUGACGUUACCAACAGAAUAAGCACCGGCUAACUUCGCG
RNAcentral lists this ribosomal RNA (484 nucleotides) under uncultured bacterium. RNAcentral describes it as "partial 16S ribosomal RNA". It matches the Rfam family "Bacterial small subunit ribosomal RNA", at positions 30 to 507 of the family's 1533-position model. The record is from RNAcentral.